This 709-nucleotide long non-coding RNA is filed under the name Anas zonorhyncha (Eastern spot-billed duck). RNAcentral describes it as "lncRNA (ENSAZOG00000019317.1)". The record is from RNAcentral. Lineage: Eukaryota; Metazoa; Chordata; Aves; Anseriformes; Anatidae.
GGCAGUGCAUAAAAGAGGCACUAACUCCCCACCAGCCCUAUCUGAAGAGAUGUUUCUGAAAAGAAAACAGGCAGGGCUCUCAAAACAAGCAUUUUCAAGCUGUGUAAUGUGAUUGCCACAAGUCAUUGUUGUGACUGAUUUCAAGCGGAGACACGACAGCGUCUGGCAACCAGGAGGUGAGAGUCAACGCAGGCUGCCUUGUGCUGCUUUCACAGGCACUGCAGAGAAAUGGGAUUGUUUCAGGAGCAAUUCAUCCGACCUGCUGUGGACAUCUCAAUCAGAGGGUGAUGAAAUGCCUGAUCCUGUUCUUUCGUGGCUCAGCGGAGGAGAAGACGCUGUAGUGUUUCAGCACCUCAUUUUGUUUGUGGGCUGGGGAGGUGCAGAAGUGUCACUACUGGCUAAACGCUUUCUUCAUGAUCUCCAGUUCCCCAAGGGCUGUUAUCAGCUUCCACCCAAACAGUAUGUUCUCCAAGUGACUCGCGUUUCCUUACUGACAGGAGAUAUUGAUUGAUUUGCCUGUAUCUUAACAACCAGCACUUGCAAAGCAAAGUGCAGCUUUGUUAAACAAAGGAUGUCAACAGGAGCGGCAGGAGCACCACGGGCAGAGUUUCUGAGCACUUGAGGACUGAGCCCCAUGCACCAUGUGCAGAGCAUGCUUUGGCUAAGGUGCAAGAGGAUGCAUGGACACAACUCUCCCCCUCUCUGUGUA